Molecule: ribosomal RNA, 512 nt
Filed under: Arctotanais alascensis
Lineage: Eukaryota; Metazoa; Arthropoda; Malacostraca; Tanaidacea; Tanaididae
Description: 12S ribosomal RNA
Source: RNAcentral
UGUUUCUAAGUUAGUGCCAGCAGUCGCGGUUAUACUAACACAGUAGAAGGUUUUAGGCUUUAUUUUAAUACUUUUAAAGGUUAGGUGAAAUUUGGUUCUUUAAACGAGGUUAAUUUUAAUGCUUGAAAAGGAUUAGAUACCCUUGUAAUUAAUUUACACUAAGUAUGACUGUGGAUUUAAAUAAUUUCAGGGGGUUUUGUAACUAUAAUAGAAAUUACUCUAUAAAUUUUACUAUUUUAUUGAAGUUUGUAUAUCGCCGUCUUUAGGUUUGGUUGCGAGACCAUUUUUCUGUUUUUAGCGGGCAUAUUUAGGUCAGGUCAAGAUACAGUUUUGAGCUAGGGGUUAUUAUAUACUUUAAUAAUUUUAACUUACGGAAUUUGUUACAAUGAGGAAAAUGGACUUGAGUGUAACUUUAUUUUCUUAGAGAGUUGGAGUGAUGAUUUGUCUGAGUACAUAUCGCCCGUCACUAUGAAGAAGUCGUAACAUAGUAGGAGUGCUGGAAAGUGUUUCUU